AAAAAAAGUUAACUUUUGAUUGAACUCUGGAAGGUAAAUGUUAAAAGACAACACCAUAUCUUUAAGGUACACCAAAAUACAUUUUUAACGAGGUUUUUGUGACAGUAUAUACUACGCCAGUGAUGGAUCAGAGUCAUUUUCACUCCCUGGCCUGACAAAGAAGUAAGCAAUAUGGUUUGUAGUUGCAACGGGAUAGGAACAAGUUUUCAGGUCACAGAUUUAUGGUACACCACACCAAAGAGUUCAAUUGUAAGUACUACAACUGGCAGCUCCCUGAAAUAAUGGAACUAUCUGCACAAGCACGAACUAGCUGCAUACAGACAUGGGGAAUAUUGACUCCAACGGUGAUUAAGACGGGUCUCAAAUAAACAAGCAAAAAAACCUUCUACCCCGUUGUUUGACUUGGCACAAGGUCGCUGGGAAGAACAUAAUCAAGAGGGCCAAUUUGGCGCUCCUAUAUAAGGUGAAACCAGUUAUGAGAAUUUCACAUUAGCAGGGGGGGAAAUGCCGAUGAUAAGAAUGCUUAAAAUGCCAUUUUGGAAGUUUGCUACCUUGAUGGGGGCAGAUUUUUA
Molecule: unclassified non-coding RNA, 572 nt
Filed under: Hevea brasiliensis (rubber tree)
Lineage: Eukaryota; Viridiplantae; Streptophyta; Magnoliopsida; Malpighiales; Euphorbiaceae
Source: RNAcentral